This 406-nucleotide ribosomal RNA is filed under the name uncultured bacterium. RNAcentral's name for it is "partial 16S ribosomal RNA". It matches the Rfam family "Bacterial small subunit ribosomal RNA", at positions 29 to 526 of the family's 1533-position model. The record is from RNAcentral.
AUUGAACGCUGGCGGCAGGCCUAACACAUGCAAGUCGAACGAGUGGCGGACGGGUGAGUAAUGUCUGGGAAACUGCCCGAUGGAGGGGGAUAACUACUGGAAACGGUAGCUAAUACCGCAUACCAUCGGAUGUGCCCAGAUGGGAUUAGCUUGUGGGUGAGGUAACGGCUCACCUAGGCGAAGAGCCCUAGCUGGUGUGAGAGGAUGACCAGCCAAACUGGAACUGGGACACGGUCAGGACUCCUACGGGAGGCAGCAGGGGGGAAGAUUGCACAAGGGGCGCAGGCCUGAGACAGCCAUGCCGCGUGUAUGAAGAAGGCCUUCGGGUUGUAAAGUACUUUCAGCGGGGAGGCGUUACCAACAGAAUAAGCACCGGCUAACUUCGUGCCAGCCGCCGCGGUAAUAC